UAAGCCAUACGAGAAAUUAAUAUUCUCAUCAAGUCACUAAUUAUCCAGAAUUGUUUGCUCUUUACAUAAAUGUCAACUAAUCAAAACAAAAUUCCAGGUUUCUAUUUUCCUUGUAUAAACAUUAAUACGUAGGUUCUUCGUCGUAAGAUAUAGUAUAAAGGAUUUGUAGUGUUGGUACAGUUAUUUGAAAGAAAACAGGAUUAAACGAAGUAUUUUGGAGUGUGUGUUAAGAUGAGUACACGACUCUGGCUUACACUUAUCAUUGUUGGUUUUCUAUUAACUUCCAUAGUAACUGAAGUAAAUGGACAACGUUGUAAGAUGCUAAAUGGAGGUUGUCGAGACACAAUAAAAAAGGACGGGAAGGGAUUGUGUGCAAGUAUUAAAGGAAAAUGUGGUUUUGUUGGUAAAAAUUGCAGAUGCCGGUCUGGAAAAGCCCAAGGAUGGACAAAAUGAUGUCAGAAAACAACAUGUACUCUUGCAACACUGCAAAACGACGGACUUUGUCAUAUACAAACACUACAUAAAUUGAUAAACGACACACGUACAAUCUGUUAAAAUGACUUUUUUUUAUAAUUAUCGACAAAAAUGUUAUACAAAUGUAUCACUAUUCCCACUUUUAUUAAGUUUAUGUAUAAAAUGCAGUAUUGGUUAAUUCCUCCCAAAAUCCACAAGACCUAAACACCAUCCUAUUUAUUUCGUUAUGGAAGAUUCACCGAUAUUAUAUUGGACAGGCUGAAGCUCUACGCUCCACGUUUCACACUACCACGUUAACGGUUUUAAUUUCUUCAACGUAAAAUCAGCUUAACAUUUUUAUUUAUUUUUAGAGCAACUGGUAUUUUCUUUUGUUUCAUUGAAUGGUAUUACGACUUAAAUUGAUAUCAUGUAUUCUUUUCACAGGACGACCACUGAAUCUGUAUACAUCCAAAUAAAAUGUAUUUCAUUAGUGGUAGUCGUGCUUCGUUCAUAACAAAAAUAUCAUUUCCAUACCCUUAUUCAUAAUGCAAAGUUUUUAAAUGCAUAACACAUAUAUAGGGUGUUCUAAAAGUGUAUUAUUUCUAUUACUUUCUUACAUUCGUGAAUUUUAUUUGAAAAAGAUGAAAUAGAGCUAUUUUGAAAACGGUA
Long non-coding RNA from Mercenaria mercenaria, 1122 nucleotides. RefSeq lists it as uncharacterized. The transcript has 2 exons. The record is from RefSeq and is a predicted model, not a curated record. NCBI's taxonomy places the organism in Eukaryota, Metazoa, Mollusca, Bivalvia, Venerida, Veneridae.